UGCCGGAUAGUGUAGCGGAAACACACCAGCCCUUGGUUCUGGUAUCGCGGGUUCGAAUCCCACUCCGGCAA
This 71-nucleotide transfer RNA is filed under the name Bacteroides sp. RNAcentral describes it as "tRNA-Gln". It matches the Rfam family "tRNA". From Rfam's summary of the family: Transfer RNA (tRNA) molecules are approximately 80 nucleotides in length. Their secondary structure includes four short double-helical elements and three loops (D, anti-codon, and T loops). Lineage: Bacteria; Pseudomonadati; Bacteroidota; Bacteroidia; Bacteroidales; Bacteroidaceae. The record is from RNAcentral.